This 253-nucleotide ribosomal RNA is filed under the name uncultured bacterium. RNAcentral's name for it is "partial 16S ribosomal RNA". It matches the Rfam family "Bacterial small subunit ribosomal RNA", at positions 524 to 776 of the family's 1533-position model. The record is from RNAcentral.
UACGAAGGGGGCUAGCGUUGCUCGGAAUCACUGGGCGUAAAGGGUGCGUAGGCGGGUCUUUAAGUCAGGGGGGAAAUCCUGGAGCUCAACUCCAGAACUGCCUUUGAUACUGAAGAUCUUGAGUUCGGGAGAGGUGAGUGGAACUGCGAGUGUAGAGGUGAAAUUCGUAGAUAUUCGCAAGAACACCAGUGGCGAAGGCGGCUCACUGGCCCGAUACUGACGCUGAGGCACGAAAGCGUGGAGAGCAAACAGG